UGAACGCUGGCGGCGUGCCUAAUACAUGCAAGUCGAGCGAACAGACGAGGAGCUUGCUCCUCUGACGUUAGCGGCGGACGGGUGAGUAACACGUGGAUAACCUACCUAUAAGACUGGGAUAACUUCGGGAAACCGGAGCUAAAACCGGAUAAUAUAUUGAACCGCAUGGUUCAAUAGUGAAAGACGGUUUUGCUGUCACUUAUAGAUGGAUCCGCGCCGCAUUAGCUAGUUGGUAAGGUAACGGCUUACCAAGGCAACGAUGCGUAGCCGACCUGAGAGGGUGAUCGGCCACACUGGAACUGAGACACGGUCCAGACUCCUACGGGAGGCAGCAGUAGGGAAUCUUCCGCAAUGGGCGAAAGCCUGACGGAGCAACGCCGCGUGAGUGAUGAAGGUCUUCGGAUCGUAAAACUCUGUUAUUAGGGAAGAACAAAUGUGUAAGUAACUAUGCACGUCUUGACGGUACCUAAUCAGAAAGCCACGGCUAACUACGUG
Molecule: ribosomal RNA, 495 nt
Filed under: uncultured bacterium
Lineage: Bacteria
Description: partial 16S ribosomal RNA
Rfam family: Bacterial small subunit ribosomal RNA
Source: RNAcentral